Ochotona princeps (American pika) is the source of this 72-nucleotide small nucleolar RNA. The record is from Ensembl. Lineage: Eukaryota; Metazoa; Chordata; Mammalia; Lagomorpha; Ochotonidae.
UGGACCAGGUAUAUGGAUGUGUAAUCAACCAAGGAUUAUGAUUAAUCCAGUUGUGUGCACCUGUGGUCUAAU